This 331-nucleotide ribosomal RNA is filed under the name uncultured eukaryote. Its description in RNAcentral is "partial 18S ribosomal RNA". It matches the Rfam family "Eukaryotic small subunit ribosomal RNA", at positions 1470 to 1796 of the family's 1831-position model. The record is from RNAcentral.
CCCUUAGAUGUCCGGGGCUGCACGCGCGCUACACUGAAGGAAUCAGCGUGCUAGAAAACCUUGUUUGACAUGGCUAGGUAACCCGUUGAAAAUCUUUCGUGAUUGGAAUCGGGACUUGCAAAUGUGUCCCUUGAACGAGGAAUUCCCAGUAAGUGCGGGUCAUAAGCUCGCGCUGAUUACGUCCCUGCCCUUUGUACACACCGCCCGUCGCUGCCCGGAACUGAGCCGUUUCGAGAAGACUGGGGACUGCGAACUUUGGGCUGGAAAACAGCUUUUUGUUUGUGGAAACCACUUUAAUCGCAGCGGCUUGAACCGGGCAAAAGUCGUAACA